Molecule: long non-coding RNA, 1635 nt
Filed under: Marmota monax (woodchuck)
Lineage: Eukaryota; Metazoa; Chordata; Mammalia; Rodentia; Sciuridae
Source: RNAcentral
UAGAGUACUUGCCUAACAUGAAAGGCCCUGGAUUCAAUCUCCAGCAUGACAAAAAAAUAAAAUAAAAAACAAGAGGGAAUAGCUGGACAUGUAAUCCCCACUGUUCAAGAGGCUAAGAGAGGAGGGUCUCAAGUUCAAGACUAGCCUGGACAACUUAGCAAGACCCUGUCUCAAACAAUAAAAAAUUGCUGGGGAUGUAGGUCCGUGGUAGAGCAGCUCUGGGUUCAAUCCUCAGUACUGGGGAGGGAAAGGGGAGGAAAAAUCUGCCCUAAAGAAUUAUAAACGUGAUUGCUUUAAGUAUGGGGUACCUGAAGUAUUUAAAUUCUAAAUAUUUGAUAAAUUGACAUGCCCUUAUUAUCUUUGGAAAAUUAACUAUUAAUUUGGCCUCUUAAUGCAGCUUGUCUUUUUGCCUCUCAGAAAACCUGACAAAAUUCUUAACCUUGCUGUAUUCAGCAUCCUGUACUUAACAUUUAACAAGUAUUAUUAUGCAUUAUAUGAUCUAAGCCCAUUAUUAUUUUAUCAUAUAAAAACAUCAUAUACAAUUAUAAAGUUGAAAACUUUGUCCUAAUUUGCAAAAAAAGACAUUUUUUUAAACAAUUUGGACUUACUGUGUAAAUGAGCUAUCUAUGUCCCAUAUAUGGUGAAAAGCUCUAUGGCAAGAAAGAAAGCAAAGGGAAGGGAAAACUCAUAGCUGAGGAUAAAGGUGUGAGGAUUUCAGGAACCAGAAUGGUCAUUAAUCAGGAUCUUACAGUUCUGAUGGAACAUACUAACAUAAUGACUGGGUUUAAAUCCUAGCUUUCUGCUACUGACUUAACCUCUCCAAGCCUUGGUUUUCUCCUUUAUGAGAUAAUAAUGCAAACAUCUUCUCAUAGGGCUGAAGUGAGUUUGAAGUUGAGAAAAAAAUAUGUAAUAUACUUAGUAUGGUUUCUGACACAUGAAAAUUUCUCAGUUCAUGAGCAGACAUGGUGGUGCUUACCUGUCUUCCCAGCAACUCAGGAAGCAGCCUCAGCAAUUUAGCAAAACCCUGUCUAAAAUUUAAAAGGGCUGAGGAUGUAGCUCAGGGGUCAAGCAAACCCGGGGUUCAAUCCAUAGUAAAAAAAAAACCCAUUUGUUUUAUAUGUGAUAAUUACUAUUAUUGCUAUUAUUUUAUUGAUGGACCUCUAUGAAGAGUUAUGAAAAAUAAUAAUCCUACAAAACAGCCCCAAAGAAAAGCAGAGAGAUAAUGCAGCUCGGGAGGAGGGAGGGGAAACUAGCCAAGCAUUAACCUUCCAGUAAAUCCUUUACCAAUGGGCCUUGAAGGAACGAGGCAAAUACUGAAUGUUGGGCUCUGGACUUAGACCUCCCCCCAUUGCAAAUUAGUCCUAAAAGGACACACAGUAAAUACUGAACUAUGGGCCCUGAAGGAAGGAGGCGAUCAAUCUCCUAUCUCUCUAAGUAACAAUGAAUCUCAACCUUUUAUAGCUGCCCUUCCGAGUUAAAAUUUUUAACCUACUUAACUAGCCCCUGACUUUCCUAAUGGUACACCCACAAGUUCCAAUGAUGAAACUAUCCUAAUUGUACCCUAUAAAACCAAAACCUCUUCUGUAAACGAUGGCCAUUUUCUACAGAAAAUGGGUCCCUAGAGUCCCCAAAGAA